UGACGUGUGCUUGUGAGGUUCAGCAAGAUCCCCGCCCUCAAACCCAGACUGCUGUCAUGCAAGAGAGCUGCACACAUAGGGAGAAAAUAUCACACAAUAUGAAUGAUGCCUAAAUAGACUGACCAAAGAAACCAAAGAUGAGUCCAUGAGAAGCAGUUGAGAGAAGAGACAUCCAGUUGGGAAUGAUCUGUCUGAGGCUGACUUGCAUGGAAAGAGAAUAUGAAUAGGGCAGUCAUACAAGCUUUGUAUGCCUCCAGAAAGUGUACAUAAAGCUGGCUGAAAAGAGGAGAAAACAGAAGGCAACAAAAGACAGACAGACAGAGGCAAAGUCAGCCCAAUAUGGAGAAGGGCUGUCAAGAAAGCAACUAAAAUGUAUUGGACAAGAAACAGAAACAAGUAAAUCCAUUCUAAACUGCAACCAUCAAACUGAAAAUAAUAAUACGUUCGAUGUAGUUACAGCAAUAAGAGAUUUUCUAAAGAGGAAGGCAGAUUUCUGAGUUCGAG
Molecule: long non-coding RNA, 504 nt
Filed under: Mus spicilegus (steppe mouse)
Lineage: Eukaryota; Metazoa; Chordata; Mammalia; Rodentia; Muridae
Description: lncRNA (ENSMSIG00000028670.1)
Source: RNAcentral